UCUCUUCUCUCUCAGUUUUCUGCUGCACUUUCUGCAUCUCCAUCGCUAGCAUUGCACGCACAGUACUGGCGAGAGCAGACCCUCUAGAACCUCACCUGCUAUUGGAGAUCCUGCUCGGGAUAGGCAGGCGAUAAGGUUUUUAUGUCUAUGUCCAGGUUGCCGAGUUGUUCGUCUAUGUCGUCUACGUCCUGGUGGCAGUGCUGUUAAACUACUUCAUCUACUUCCCAAAGGCCGUUCGUGGGACUGCACUGCGUCGACUCCUCACGGCAUCGAAUUUGUACGACUACAUCGACUGAGGCCAUCCCAUGAUUAGUAUGACUAAUUCAGAUGGAUGGCAAAGAAUGACCUAAGAUGUCUGCGACAAUGGGCCAAGGAUAGCGAAGAUGGUAAAGGAUGACCUAAGAGGUCUGCGACAAUGGGCCAAGAAUAGCGAAAAGGGCCACCCCAGUUCGUCGGCAUUCUCUUAGCGGGUGGAAGUGUUGGCAGAGGCAGACCUAAAUCUAAGUUAGGGUAGUCCCAUCCCAUUUUAUCUAUGGCAGUUUCUAUAAUAUCAUAUCAGUAAAACACCAUAUAGGGAAACUAGACCCCCUCAGUUUCUUCAUGUGCUGUAAUUCCAUCCGUCCUCUCCUUUCUCUCUCCUUGUGCAACUGGCAACCGUAGAAGGGCAAGACCAAGCAAACAGGUAGGCCGCGGGGCCAUACAAAAUAGUGCUAAAGUAUCAAAGUGAUGACGACCAUGUCUUAAUCAACUCAAGCAAGUCUAUAUCAAGUGAGCUCCAAUUUCAACAUGACCCUACAGGCUUGCUCAAGUUUCAAAUCAUCAAAGUCCUCAUCUUUUAUGCUUUGUCAACUACUCAAGUAUAAUUGAGCAACAUCCCAAAUCUCGUGAGUGGUGGUGCCCUUGCCACCUCUCGACUUCUACCAGCAACUAAACAUGGCUAAGCAAUUAUAUAGAGAUUCUACCAUUCAUACUUUUACUAAGUAAGUUGGGCUAAGACCAAGAGUUGACAUGCCUAGUAGGUUCUAAUCAUUGCACAUGUCUAAAUAGACCAAAGGUCAUGCACAACCAUUAAUAGAUAAUAGCAAUUCACAUUCAAAAAAUAGAGUUGAGAUACAUAGGCGCCUGCCUGAGAUUUAGUGCUCCAAGAUGCAAUACUCUAGAACGUCAUCCUCUAAGAAAAAGAUGAGUGCAUGAAUUAGAAGUUAUGCUAUGAAUGCACAUGCAUAUGCAUAUGAGAUGCUAUGACUCCUGAGAAGUCAAGGUUAACAUGACACAAGGUCAUCAAACAAGCAAUCGAAGAUUAGAAUGAGAGCACACAAGCAUAACAUUGGGUGAAGGUGCCAAAAUGUGCACAUAGCUUUCCAAGACAAGUUGUAACAUAAGGAUGUCAUCAGAAUUAGUUCUCUACUUUUUGUUGUCAUAUAACUAAUAUUAACUGACAUGCCACAACAUACACAAAGCAUCAACUAUGGGAGUAUUUCAUGAUUGUUAUCAACAUUGAAAUUGAGCAAGAUUAUACAACCUAAUAGUAUAAUACAAGUAUGACCAACUUUAUAAAGUUUAAGAACUAAUGGGUAGCUAGGAACAUCACUUCUUAAUUAAGGGUAAUAGAAUCAUCCUGUAAGUUAGAAGGUAGCUGUUAUUGUUGUACUUAAUUAAGACAAGUAUCAUAAGAUUCUUGGAGGUUUCUAAUUACAAGCAACAUUGUGCAUUUGUUUAAUAGGUAAUUAAAAAGAUAAACACACAUCUAAUUAAACUAGACAAUUUGGUAAUUAGUUUAUUAGAAAAAAAAUAUUUUUAACAGGUACUAAACAUCAUGAUAAAACCAACAAAAUAUGUUUCACGUUAGUUCGAUCUAUAUUCAAUUUUAUAUGAAUUAUGUAAGAUGAUACAUGUUGAUGCACUUGAAACAAAAGGCUGACUGGACAGUAUACUGUGCAGUACCUGCAGACAAUGCGCCCUUAGGGCUUGGACUCCGCGGGUAAAGCGCCAACGUGCUCCAGAAAUACACCAGUUUGGUGUAAACUUUAGAACUCAAAUGUGGACUGUCCGGUGUCAAAUGACGGAUAUGUCGUCGUACAAAGACUUUUGGUAAAACGUUGUGAGCAAAAAUCAACAGUGACAAAUAUUUUAAUAUUGAGCAAUAAACUUUCAUCAAGGACAUUUCAUAUUA
This is a long non-coding RNA of Setaria italica (foxtail millet), 2173 nucleotides long. RefSeq lists it as uncharacterized. The record is from RefSeq and is a predicted model, not a curated record. The transcript is spliced from 2 exons. Lineage: Eukaryota; Viridiplantae; Streptophyta; Magnoliopsida; Poales; Poaceae.